CCUACGGGGGGCAGCAGUGAGGAAUUUUGGUCAAUGGACGAGAGCCUGAACCAGCCAAGUAGCGUGAAGGAUGACUGCCCUACGGGUUGUAAACUUCUUUUAUAAAGGAAUAAAGUGAGGCACGUGUGCCUUUUUGUAUGUACUUUAUGAAUAAGGAUCGGCUAACUCCGUGCCAGCAGCCGCGGUAAUACGGAGGAUCCGAGCGUUAUCCGGAUUUAUUGGGUUUAAAGGGAGCGUAGAUGGGUUGUUAAGUCGGUUGUGAAAGUUUGCGGCUCAACCGUAAAAUUGCAAUUGAUACUGGCAGCCUUGAGUACAGGUGAGGUAAGCGGAAUUCGUGGUGUAGCGGUGAAAUGCUUAGAUAUCACGAAGAACUCCGAUUGCGAAGGCAGCUUACUAAACUGCCACUGACAUUGAUGCUCGAAGGUGUGGGUAUCAAACAGGAUUAGAUACCCGUGUAGUC
This 460-nucleotide ribosomal RNA is filed under the name uncultured bacterium. RNAcentral describes it as "partial 16S ribosomal RNA". It matches the Rfam family "Bacterial small subunit ribosomal RNA", at positions 338 to 795 of the family's 1533-position model. The record is from RNAcentral.